UCAGGGGAGACCUUAUUGCUCUCUACAGCUCUCUGAAUGGAGGUUGUGGCAAGAUAGGGGUCAGCCUCUUCUCCCAGGUAACAGCAAUUGAACGAGAGAGAAUGGCCUCAGGUUACAGUAGGGGAGUUUCAGGUUGGGUAUGAGGAAAAACUUCUUCUACAGAAGAGUGGUUGGGCAUUGGCACAGGCUGCCCAGGGAGGUGGUGCAGUCACUGUCCAUGGAGGUGUUCAAGAAACAUGGAGAUGUGGUAUUAAGGGAUGUUGUUAGUGGGGAAAUAUUGGUGGUAGCUGGGUGGCUGGACUGGAUGAUAUUAGAGGUCUUUCCCUUAAUGAUUCUGUGAUUUAAAAAAAAAAAAAAAUCGUGUAAUGCAAAAAGUUAACAAUGGGUUGGAAGAAUCUCAAGUGGCACCAGUGGGCUGAGUGCCUGCCAUUGGUGAUAGGAAUUAGUCUGCAGCAGCGCCAGUUCCCAUGUAUUUAUGUAACUGCUGAAAUCAAACCUAAUGCAGGUUCUGAGGUAAAAUGUUUUAGGAUUUGUUGUCAACUUUUGUCUCCCUUAUCAUUAUGGGCCAGUAAAUUCAGACAUGAGAAGAGGAGAAGCAGUUCAGCAUUCAUAUGAGCUAAAUAUUCCCAUGUGCAUAUGUAGCCCUUUACAAGGUGACAUUCAUUUGGAACUGUACCUGCCUUUCUUCUCUGAUUGCUGCGUGCGAAACAACCAAUUCCUUCCCAUUUUCGGUAAGAUGAUGCUUCCUGUUCUUCCGUGUAAUCAGCCUCAGAAAAAGGGGUAUUUUGUACAAAGAAAAGCUGCCUAUCAUAAACCCUGUAUGCCAUUCUGUAACGUCUUGUUCCAGCUGAUUGUGACUUAAAUUUGCUUCUCAGUGUCAUCUUUGGAAAGACUUUUUUUUGUCUUUGUAAGAUGGGCCAGAACAAGCCCCGAUGAGCUGUCUGCUGUGUGACUGGUGUCCUCGGAGCACACCCAAUUGCAGCGGGAACGGCCGCAGAACGUACAGCUUGUUAUGGUGCUGCCGAAGGGGAUUUACCACCUCCUGCUGCAGAGCGUGGUGGGAACCGACGAGUCUGUGCUGAGGGCUUUAACAAAGCAGCUUUCCAGAACCAAAGGACCUGUGUGAGGACAUGUGCAGGGACCCAGCGUGAGGCACAGGAGUGCCCUAAGGCAAGGAAGUAACUCUGCUCUUCAUCUACUUUAAAUAACUUUUGUGCUCAAGUCACUGUGGGGACUAAAGCUGGCAGAUAUCCCCAAGUUUGCUGAGGUGAAUGUCAGAAUUAUUUUGGUCAAUGGGAGUCUUUUAUAACCAUGUAUUUUACCACGGUAUAUGGCCCCAGUCCUACAGCUAGGCAUUUCCCAGAUUAUUAUUCCCUUGCUAUGCCCAAACUUCAGAGAAAAAUGGUUUCUUCAUUGCUUGUGUGAUCCUAUAAAUAAUGUAUUGUUAACUGCAUGCUGAGCUAAGAAUAGCAUCUCCCGAGUCACACUUACUGUGGGUCUAUGGACAACGCUUUCAAAGCCUGAUGUGCUCCCACAAUGUGCAGACACCUUAAGGCUCAACACUCCCCUCUUCCAGCAGUAAAUUAGAGAUGCUCUCACAAUACUUCGUCAUGAAUAGCUAAGCCUACUUCAGGAAACAUCUUGAUAAUGUAGCUGCUAUCAGACAGAGCAGAGUAAGGCAGCUCUAUGCAAAGGCUCAUUAAGGGUCAGAUGAAGAAAAGUCUUUGUCCAGAAACUUCUUGGAGUUUCCUGGUGUUGCCGGUUGUACGUUGGAGGUGAUGUAUUUACUGAAGGCUCCAGUGCGUGACAGCUAGCUUUUUUUGUUACUUGAAAUCCAGCUUGCUUAAGUCAGAUAAUGCUUUUGCCAUGAUUUAUUGCAUGUGGCACAAAUCCUGUUCUGUUGCACCUAUCAAAUUUUGUUGACAUCCCUGGCAGCAAAGAGAAUUUGGCUCUCAUAAUUUAAAACUUUGAGGCAAAUGGCAAGAAUUUCCAGAAGAUGAGAUUUCUAGAUGAGUGCUGAGGUGGGAGGUUGUGUGGUCAAUUUCUAGCAGCUACCAGAACAAGGUAAACACUGUCAGAAUAGGUUACUGAGAAUGAAAGUACCUCUGUGGUUUUUCAGGUUGCAAAUAUAUACUACUGCAAGGAUGCUUUGAUUUAUGUGACAGUAUGAAUUUUAUAAACCCCAUGCACGCUUGAGGUAAGAAAUAUUUGCAUUGGUUCGAACCUGCUGGAAUAUUCCUACAGUGCUCCUGUGGGACACUAGCUUGCGUGGGUGAGGUGCUGGUGCCAGUGCAGGACUGGGAGGUGAGCAGGCAGUGGCCAGCCCUGAUUUUCCUGCUGCUGCCCAACAUGCUGCACCCAGUCCCUCUCUGCUCCUCUGAGCACAGAAUUUGCAACAUUUUAGUACAACUUCAUGCAGUUGCUUUCCUGCCAUGGUCUUUAUCCCUUCUCUAAGUAUAAUUUUGCUACACCUACUCAUUAAAUGCCAAAUAGUGAGUAGGGAAAUAUUUCCCUGUGUGGACAAUUUUCUUUUAGUAUUACUGUUUUAUUUUUGGAUAACUGUCCUGUUGGUUCCAUAAAGGAAGAUGCUGGAGCCUGAGCCUGUCUGAUGUUCAUUUUGUCCACAAAUAGAAAAUGACAGCUUCCUUGGUAUCUCACCUAACACAAAAAUGUCAAUGUUUAUAGGCGUUUUCAGUAUGUCAUGAGCUACAAAUAGCGUUUCCAUUCAAGGGAUCAUGAUUUUCUUCCAUGAAGAAAUCAAAAGAUUGUUUUGUUCUUGUUGUGGGGUAGCAGAUAUGAGCAGCAACUAAAAAUAAUGCUAGAACAAGUAAACACAGGUAGAGUUUGUAUAUCUUUUACAGGCAUUCAUCCAAACCAAACUCUUUCAGGUUCAGCCUGAAAAAACAGGUUGGAGCAGUUGAAAGCAGACCCAGAGAUGCUACUUGAGGAUAACAUGAGGUAAUAAGCACAGUGAGCGAGUUUACUGCAUAUGUCCUUCCCUCAGAGAUCUUCUCAGCUCUUUGGGAGCCACUGUGAAAUUUCAGAUUAGCCUCAGUAGGGGAUGAAUGUAAAUAUUAACAUGCCUGGAAUAACACAAGCCAAACUUUUAAUUCCUUUUGGGUCAGUUCUUGCUAUAUUUUCCCUGGCUAGUAUCCCAAGGUAUCCAAUGCUAAUUUGGUUUCAGUAAGAAUAAUUAGGUAAUGAAAGCUGGACCUCAUGAUUAUAUCACUGGUCUGUAGGCUUUGGGCGUUAUUGUGUUCUCAACCUUGUAACUGAUUUUCUGCACGACAAGCUAUUUCAGCUACAGUGAUGUGCAUGUAAAAUGUAUUUGUGCAUGUAAAAUGAAGGUGUUGCAUGCCCCACAUGUACACCCUCUGGUGACCAAAUCAGUAAGUGGAAGGAAGGCUUUCAGGAACCGCUGUUAUUCCAUGAGCAAAUCUACUCGGCAGCUUUUGGUCCUAUGGUGCUGUAAUGUUUGGACUAAGCAGAUAGCUCACCUAGCUGGUGGAGCAUGCCCAUGACUGCAUCUGUGUGUGAGUACUUGGAGGUGGUACAAUGGAAUGAGUCUGGAGGUUGUAAGGUCUUACUUGUGAUCUGGCCAGCUAGCUGGGACAGUCCUUCCUUCCUAGGCAACAUAAAGCCCCUGGAAGACCAGAGUGGUUGCAGCUAGAAAGGGAAUAACAGCUUACACCACACAAAUGUUUUCAAGUCUGAAUGAGAAGUGUUGUACAUGCUGGAUUAGGACAAGGCAUCUGUGCUGAGCUGCCCUACCCAUUAUCCAAAUCCUUUCCCUUUAUUAUAUUUCUUGUCAGUAGUUUUCCUGCUUCUCACUUGCAAUCUUCAUUAAAGAUCCCCACUUCUCCGUUAUGCCCCGUGCCCCUCCCUUGAUGCAGCGCCUGGGGCCACAGCUCUGCAGCUGCCCCAUGCCAUGCACAGCCCGAGGGGAAGCUGAGCCCUUUGCAGGGCAUCCUCCCAAGAGGAAGUUGAUCUGUUGGGAGAGUAACUCAAAACUCUCUUCUGGGACUAUAACUUUGUUUCAGUAACUUCACACCUUACAUCUUUGAUUAAUGUAACUUGCUCUGCUGUUCCUGCGCUUAUUAAAUUCAUGUGAAUGUAAAUAAAAUAUAAAUAAAACUAUGGGAUAUAGCCGAA
This 4152-nucleotide long non-coding RNA is filed under the name Numida meleagris (helmeted guineafowl). RNAcentral's name for it is "lncRNA (ENSNMEG00000020562.1)". Lineage: Eukaryota; Metazoa; Chordata; Aves; Galliformes; Numididae. The record is from RNAcentral.